Nomascus leucogenys (northern white-cheeked gibbon) is the source of this 312-nucleotide non-coding RNA. It matches the Rfam family "7SK RNA". From Rfam's summary of the family: 7SK was discovered as an abundant small nuclear RNA in the mid-70s but a possible function has only recently been suggested. Lineage: Eukaryota; Metazoa; Chordata; Mammalia; Primates; Hylobatidae. The record is from Rfam.
GGACAAAAGAGUAAGUUGGCUUUGACAACCGUCACCACAUUGGUCUCUGAGGAUGACCUUUCUGGACAGAGGAAUGUGCCUCUCUUUCUUUGCUAUUCAUGUGUCUACCUCCUGAAGCUGCAUGUUCUAUUGAAGAGGAUAGCCUUUAAUUCAGUGUUUAGUUCAGUGCAUACAAAUAGCUCAACACACCAGUCAAUAUUUCUCAUACCUUCCUCUAUCUACUGGUACCUCUGCCCUCCCUUCUCCCAGGUUUUCAGGAUUCCUUUGUAAACCUUUGGCUGCCCAAAGUCCAGUGUUUGGAUGCUUCAUGAA